AUAAAAACACAGCCUAAAAUGACGAGAGA
Molecule: non-coding RNA, 29 nt
Filed under: Trypanosoma brucei brucei
Lineage: Eukaryota; Euglenozoa; Kinetoplastea; Trypanosomatida; Trypanosomatidae
Source: RNAcentral